AUGGGCCCGGUGUGCCAGGGGCCUGUUUUACCCGACUGUACUGAUGUUUAUUUCACCUGUAUUGCUGUAUCGACAGGCUUUGGCUUCUGCUCCUCUCCCGUCGUCCUCCCAAAUUCCAGCAAUGGCAGAGCCAAUUCCAACAGAUUCCGGCACCACAGUAACGCCUCCAGUCUAUCGGAGACGCAAUUCCUCCGAGGAAUCACGCGGCAUCUCAAAUGCAGGCGGCAAGGAUCAUGGAGUGGCCAGCUCUGCAGGGGAGACUAG
Molecule: ribosomal RNA, 264 nt
Filed under: Triticum aestivum (bread wheat)
Lineage: Eukaryota; Viridiplantae; Streptophyta; Magnoliopsida; Poales; Poaceae
Description: partial small subunit ribosomal RNA
Source: RNAcentral